GACAGAGGAUGCAAACGUGGCUCGGAGUUACUGGGCGUAAAGCGCAUGUAGGUGGUCCGAUAAGUCGGGUGUGAAAUCCCGGGGCUCAACCUCGGAAGUGCACACGAUACUGUCGGACUUGAGUACUGGAGAGGAGAGCGGAAUUCCCGGUGUAGAGGUGAAAUUCGUAGAUAUCGGGAGGAACACCAGUGGCGAAGGCGGCUCUCUGGACAGAUACUGACACUGAGAUGCGAAAGCGUGGGAAGCAAACAGG
RNAcentral lists this ribosomal RNA (253 nucleotides) under uncultured bacterium. RNAcentral's name for it is "partial 16S ribosomal RNA". It matches the Rfam family "Bacterial small subunit ribosomal RNA", at positions 524 to 776 of the family's 1533-position model. The record is from RNAcentral.